This 71-nucleotide transfer RNA is filed under the name Stegodyphus mimosarum. It matches the Rfam family "tRNA". From Rfam's summary of the family: Transfer RNA (tRNA) molecules are approximately 80 nucleotides in length. Their secondary structure includes four short double-helical elements and three loops (D, anti-codon, and T loops). Lineage: Eukaryota; Metazoa; Arthropoda; Arachnida; Araneae; Eresidae. The record is from Rfam by way of RNAcentral.
GCCUUCGUGGUAUAACGGUAGCACAUUCGGCGCGUAUUCGAGAGGUACAGGUUCGAGCCCUGGCGAGGGUA